UACGGAGGGUGCGAGCGUUAAUCGGAAUUACUGGGCGUAAAGCGUGCGUAGGCGGUUCGUUAAGUCAGAUGUGAAAGCCCUGGGCUCCACCUGGGAACUGCAUUUGAAACUGGCGGACUAGAGUUUAGGAGGGGGGGGGGGAAUUUCAGGUGUAGCGGUGAAAUGCGUAGAUAUCUGAAGGAACACCAGUGGCGAAGGCGACUCCCUGGACUAGAACUGACGCUGAGGUACGAAAGCGUGGGUAGCAAACAGGAUUAGAUACCCUGGUAGUCCACGCCGUAAACGAUGUCGACUAGCCGUUGGCCCUAUUUACAGGGUUAGUGGCGCAGCUAACGCAUUAAGUCGACCGCCUGGGGAGUACGGCCGCAAGGUUA
This 374-nucleotide ribosomal RNA is filed under the name uncultured prokaryote. Its description in RNAcentral is "bacterial SSU rRNA". It matches the Rfam family "Bacterial small subunit ribosomal RNA", at positions 524 to 896 of the family's 1533-position model. The record is from RNAcentral.